AUAUAUAUAUAUAUUGUUUAUGUUGCUGCAAAAACUUUUCCUUUAUACAUGAACUACUUACUUAUAUCUUCCUCAUUAUGCCAGAAGUCCUACACCAUAUAAGAACUAACUAUUUUCUGUUUAUAGCCUGUUUUAAAUCCUCCGCAGCCAAGGAACGAGUCGCUUUGAGCGUCAGAGUAAGCUGGCCUCCAAUGGAUCUAAAUUUGCAUUUGAAUUUUUUGCAACCAUGAUCUCUGAAGCUGACCAUAUG
Molecule: unclassified non-coding RNA, 250 nt
Filed under: Hevea brasiliensis (rubber tree)
Lineage: Eukaryota; Viridiplantae; Streptophyta; Magnoliopsida; Malpighiales; Euphorbiaceae
Source: RNAcentral